GAUGAACGCUGGCGGCGUGCCUAACACAUGCAAGUCGAGCGGCAGCGAGGGGUGCUUGCACCCUGUCGGCGAGCGGCGGACGGCUGAGUAACGCGUGGGAACGUGCCCCAAAGUGAGGAAUAACUGCCCGAAAGGGUAGCUAAUACCGCAUAUUAUCUUCGGAUCAAAGGAUUUAUCCGCUUUGGGAGCGGCUCGCGUCGGAUUAGGUAGUUGGUGAGGUAAUGGCUCACCAAGCCGACGAUCCGUAGCUGGUCUGAGAGGAUGACCAGCCAGACUGGAACUGAGACACGGUCCAGACUCCUACGGGAGGCAGCAGUGAGGAAUCUUCCACAAUGGGCGAAAGCCUGAUGGAGCAACGCCGCGUGCAGGACGAAGGCCUUCGGGUUGUAAACUGCUUUUAUAAGUGAGGAAUAUGACGGUAACCGAUGAAUAAGGAUCGGCUAACUACGUG
This 451-nucleotide ribosomal RNA is filed under the name uncultured bacterium. RNAcentral describes it as "partial 16S ribosomal RNA". It matches the Rfam family "Bacterial small subunit ribosomal RNA", at positions 28 to 507 of the family's 1533-position model. The record is from RNAcentral.